GCCGAUCUAAGACCCCCGCACCCCGUUCGCCGCACUAUAAAAAGGUAAUCUUCCCUUCCCUUCUUUUCUUUUUUAUUUCAGUUCGAUGUAGAAUUAUGUAAUUAGUUUAGUUUAAUUUUAAUGUUGUAUGCUAAGUUUCUGGUUUUUGUAGUUCAUGCUUAGUGUAAUUUUUUUCAUUUUUCUUCGUCUCUGAAUAUUUUCGUUGUUUCUAUUUUUAAUUGGGUUAAAGGGAAUUAAUUAGUCCAAUUUCAGUUCUAUU
Long non-coding RNA from Lycium ferocissimum, 259 nucleotides. RefSeq lists it as uncharacterized. The transcript has 2 exons. The record is from RefSeq and is a predicted model, not a curated record. NCBI's taxonomy places the organism in Eukaryota, Viridiplantae, Streptophyta, Magnoliopsida, Solanales, Solanaceae.